Molecule: ribosomal RNA, 465 nt
Filed under: uncultured Klebsiella sp.
Lineage: Bacteria; Pseudomonadati; Pseudomonadota; Gammaproteobacteria; Enterobacterales; Enterobacteriaceae
Description: bacterial SSU rRNA
Rfam family: Bacterial small subunit ribosomal RNA
Source: RNAcentral
CCUACGGGAGGCUGCAGUGGGGAAUAUUGCACAAUGGGCGCAAGCCUGAUGCAGCCAUGCCGCGUGUGUGAAGAAGGCCUUCGGGUUGUAAAGCACUUUCAGCGGGGAGGAAGGCGGUGAGGUUAAUAACCUCAUCGAUUGACGUUACCCGCAGAAGAAGCACCGGCUAACUCCGUGCCAGCAGCCGCGGUAAUACGGAGGGUGCAAGCGUUAAUCGGAAUUACUGGGCGUAAAGCGCACGCAGGCGGUCUGUCAAGUCGGAUGUGAAAUCCCCGGGCUCAACCUGGGAACUGCAUUCGAAACUGGCAGGCUAGAGUCUUGUAGAGGGGGGUAGAAUUCCAGGUGUAGCGGUGAAAUGCGUAGAGAUCUGGAGGAAUACCGGUGGCGAAGGCGGCCCCCUGGACAAAGACUGACGCUCAGGUGCGAAGGCGUGGGGAGCAAACAGGAUUAGAUACCCGUGUAGUC